GUUAAAUGCCUUUCUCAAGGUCACGACGGUGCAAAAACCACCGGGGAAAGAGGAUCUCAGGUCUCCGACCUUUCUGCACUGGAAAGGCAGCACGGCGCAACGUGCUCCGCUCUGCUCGAAAUCCCAACGCCACAAGGUUUUCGGGUUAAGGAUGGACACCCCGAAUGCUCUCCACCGAGCUCCACCGGACUUGGGUACCCCGUGGCGUUCCCGUCCGCACUCCCGCCGUCCCAGUCCGAGCGCCACUGCUCUGAGAGGGGCCAGUGAGGGUCACUUACCGUCGCUCUCCGCCCUGACGAGCAGGGACAUGCCCUUCAGCCUCUCCACGUAGCCGGAGGACACAUGGCCAGUACCCCGGUCGUCCCACUGCCGGUCCUCGUUGAGCGUGUAGACCUUCACCCGCCGUCGGGUGUCGGUCAUCGUGCCGGCCGGGGGCCCCGCCCGAGUGGCCCAGGGACAGUGUCCAGAAAAGGCGGGCGGCCGCAAACGGGGAACUCCGGGACCUCAGUGCCACCGCUGGCCGCCGCGGAGCUGCGCCGCCGCUCGCAUGGCCCGCUCCCGGGUCCGAGCCCCGGGCCGCCGCCUUCUCUCGUCUCCUUCUCCCCGGCGCUAUUGUCCAGGCCGAGCGAGCGCGGCCGCCCAGCAGCCCCGACAGGGAACGCGCAGCACUACGCAGCCUACCGGCCCGCCGUUCCAACGAGGUGCGGCUCGGUUCACAGACCCGCUCCGGCCUCCACCAUGACCUCCGCAGAGCCGCUUUCCCGCGCCGCCGCCUCCUCAGGCCGCCGCCGCCAUGUUUUCCUCCCUUGUACCUGGCCCAGCCGCUGCAGCAGGAAGCCCCGCUCCGCUCCUCCCGCUUAAAGCAUCCGAAGCCGGUGAGGUAGCACUUCCCGGGAGACUCCGAACGCCUCUGGCCACCCGAGAACCCCUGGCUCUUCUUAGAAGCCGCCUUCCCUACUCCGCCGCCUCUUCCGUCUUCCUCACAGAGCCAAAGCCGCCGCCAUCUUGGCUCGCCCCUCAAAAGCGGCGCGCGGGGCCACCUAGGCAGUAGCGGCAGGGGCGGCCCGCAAGCCCCACCACUUAAAGCGACAAGACGGGAGCCGGCAGCUUCGCUCCGGCCGAGGCCUUGCACCGAGGCGGGCGCGGAGCUGCGGGGGUGGCGGGAGCGGAGGAGGCGGGACGCGAGUCGCGCCGGUGACGGACCGGGACUCCCUCGCGCUGCCCUGCGCGUACUGUCGUGCAAGCGCGGGCUGCGUGUGCGUCCGUCGCACUUUGAAUUCGUCAUCACCUCGGCUCCGGGCGGGGAAGGGGUGUGGAGUCUGUUGGCGGCUUCUGGAGCCAGACUGGACUCUGAUCCCGGAGCUCGUCCUUUCCCGUGCGAGCCUUCUCCGGACGCUUUAGGGAGGACCUUUGCAGUCGGCCCUGGGGGCGCGGGCUGCUGGCGUCCUCCUCGUCCUCCCCCCGCCCUCCUCCUCCUCCUCCUCUUCUUCCCUUGGCCUGAAAUAGAGAAGUUUCUGAGAGAGGACCGUUUGGACCGCGAGGUUGGCGGGAUGCAGUGAGGCACGCAAUGGCCGGUAAAUGACACAACCUCGGGGUUCGACGUGUGAUAAGGUAUCCUGUAACUACUCUUUGUACCGCUGGGAUCUACCCUGCUUCACUGGAUGACAUGCAGCCUUUUCUCUUAGCAACUGCAUGAAUAAACAUCCAAGAGAACUUGUUUGUUUGGUUUAGUUUUUUGAGACAAGGUUUCUCUGUAUAGCCCUGGCUGCCCGGGAACUCACUCUGUAGACCAGGCUGGCCUCAAACUCAGAAAUCUGCCUGCCUCUGCCUCCUGAGGGCUGGGAUUAAAGGCGUGCGCCACCACACCCGGCGAUAACUUUUUUUUUUUAAAGAUUUAUUUUUAUGUGUAUCAGUUUGUCUGCGUGUAUGUAUGUGCACUAUGUGUAAGCCUGAUGCUCUUGGAGGCCAGAAGAGGAUGUUGGAUCACCUGUUAACUGUGAUUACAGGCAAUUGGGAACUGCAUGCGGAUGAUGAGAAGCAAGGCCUUGUCCUUUACAAGAGAAGCCUGUGGUUUAAACUGCUGAGCUGUCUUUCUAGUUCCAAAUACCUAAGAGGAGUCUAAAGUCCUUCUCAAAGGACCUUGAGAUAUCUUUUUUUGCUUGUUUUUUCAAGACAGGGUUUCUCUGUGUAGCCCUGGCUAUCCUGGAACUCACUCUGUAGACCAGGCUGGCCUCGAACUCAGAAAUCCGCCUGCCUCUGCCUCCUGAGGGCUGGGAUUAAAGGCGUGCGCCACCACUGCCUGGCCCUUGAGAUAUCUUAGUGAAUGAGGAAAGGCACUUAAACUGCUAAACCCAACCAAGUGAAUUUGAUCCUUGAAACUCACAUGAUGGAAGGAGAGAACCAAUCCCCUUACCUUGUUCUCUGACAGCUACACACCCCUCUCCCACAGAAAUAAAAUGUU
This 2461-nucleotide long non-coding RNA is filed under the name Mus musculus (house mouse). RNAcentral describes it as "RIKEN cDNA D130020L05 gene, transcript variant 3 (D130020L05Rik)". The record is from RNAcentral. Lineage: Eukaryota; Metazoa; Chordata; Mammalia; Rodentia; Muridae.